GUCUCCGCCAUGGGCCUGCGCCGCCUCGGGACCGGGGUCAGGGUGCCACGGCUUACCAAUGGAAGAUUAGGCCAGAUGGCUCCUGAGAGUGCUUUGGGAGAUUCUCUGUUCCUUCUGGGAAUGGCAGGGAUAGGAGGGGGUCCCAGAAGUUUGAACGCUUUGGCAUCCAAGAAAUCACACUCCAAAUACUGCUCUUCUGGCCUCCCCUGGGCUGCCUUCUCCAACCGUGUUCCUGGGAACCGAAGGGCAGAAAUUGCCCUCUUGGGCUUAUAAACAAGGAGCUCCUGCCUGCCUGGAUGAAGAGGAGGUCAAGACUUUGUCCCCCACUCCGCAAGAUACCCUCUCUGUUCCGGAGCGGUGAGACAGGAUUUCACCAUGUUAGCCAGGAUGGUCUUGAUCUCCUGACCUCAUGAUCUGCCCACCUCGGCCUCCCAAAGUGCUGGGCUUACAGGCGUGAGCCACCGUGCCCGGCCAAAAAUAACUUUUAAAAACAUGAGUAUAGCAUACACACACACAAAAGUCCACAAAUCCUAGGUGU
This 538-nucleotide long non-coding RNA is filed under the name Homo sapiens (human). RNAcentral's name for it is "LOXL1 antisense RNA 1". The record is from RNAcentral. Lineage: Eukaryota; Metazoa; Chordata; Mammalia; Primates; Hominidae.